Molecule: long non-coding RNA, 262 nt
Filed under: Numida meleagris (helmeted guineafowl)
Lineage: Eukaryota; Metazoa; Chordata; Aves; Galliformes; Numididae
Description: lncRNA (ENSNMEG00000006200.1)
Source: RNAcentral
GUUUUCUUUCCAGCCAUCCUAAAAAAAAUGGACGCCCUGUGCUUGUUCUUCAGUCCAGUGGCUAUUUAUUGAAAACAGAAGUAUUGACAUAAGCAGGUUUUGCUGGAAUUAACAAAAUGAACAGGAAGACGUAAAGAACGAAAGACUUUACAUGAAGCCAAGUGACCAUCCGUGUAGGUGUCCGAAGUCCCAAGCUUCUGAGUGCCCUAGGAAUAAGGAUCCAACACUGAAAGUAAAACUGAAGAUUAAGCACAGGUCUUAG